AUCACUUCUUGGCCUUUUGGCUAAGAUCAAGUGUGAAAAAUCUUAACAAAUUAUGUGAAAAUGGCUUUCUGUUUCAUAAUAAAGCGAGUGUUUUACAAUAAAAGAAUUUGCACCUUCUGCAUUUGCAGGUAAAACCUGAGUUUGAGGAAAGAUGCACUGUGCUGUUUGGUGCCUCACCGU
This is a small nuclear RNA of Oryctolagus cuniculus (rabbit), 180 nucleotides long. Its record names the gene U2. It matches the Rfam family "U2 spliceosomal RNA". From Rfam's summary of the family: U2 is a small nuclear RNA (snRNA) component of the spliceosome (involved in pre-mRNA splicing). Complementary binding between U2 snRNA (in an area lying towards the 5' end but 3' to hairpin I) and the branchpoint sequence (BPS) of the intron results the bulging out of an unpaired adenosine, on the BPS, which initiates a nucleophilic attack at the intronic 5' splice site, thus starting the first of two transesterification reactions that mediate splicing. Lineage: Eukaryota; Metazoa; Chordata; Mammalia; Lagomorpha; Leporidae. The record is from Ensembl.